RNAcentral lists this ribosomal RNA (1103 nucleotides) under uncultured bacterium. Its description in RNAcentral is "bacterial SSU rRNA". It matches the Rfam family "Bacterial small subunit ribosomal RNA", at positions 8 to 1208 of the family's 1533-position model. The record is from RNAcentral.
AGAGUUUGAUCCUGGCUCAGGAUGAACGCUGGCGGCGUGCUUAACACAUGCAAGUCGAACGAACCUUCGGGUUAGUGGCGGACGGGUGAGUAACGCGUGGGAAUCUACCCUCAGGAAGGGGAUAACGGCUGGAAACGGCCGCUAAUACCCCAUAUGCCGAGAGGUGAAAUGAAUUUCGCCUGAGGAUGAGCCCGCGUCUGAUUAGCUUGUUGGUGAGGUAAUGGCUCACCAAGGCUUCGAUCAGUAGCUGGUCUGAGAGGAUGAUCAGCCACACUGGGACUGAGACACGGCCCAGACUCCUACGGGAGGCAGCAGUGGGGAAUUUUCCGCAAUGGGCGAAAGCCUGACGGAGCAACGCCGCGUGAGGGAUGAAGGCCUCUGGGCUGUAAACCUCUUUUCUCAAGGAAGAAGAUCUGACGGUACUUGAGGAAUAAGCCACGGCUAAUUCCGUGCCAGCAGCCGCGGUAAUACGGGAGUGGCAAGCGUUAUCCGGAAUUAUUGGGCGUAAAGCGUCCGCAGGCGGCCUUUCAAGUCUGCUGUUAAAACGUGGAGCUUAACUCCAUCAGGGCAGUGGAAACUGUUGGGCUUGAGUGUGGUAGGGGCAGAGGGAAUUCCCGGUGUAGCGGUGAAAUGCGUAGAUAUCGGGAAGAACACCAGUGGCGAAAGCGCUCUGCUGGGCCAUAACUGACGCUCAUGGACGAAAGCCAGGGGAGCGAAAGGGAUUAGAUACCCCUGUAGUCCUGGCCGUAAACGAUGAACACUAGGUGUCGGGGGAAUCGACCCCCUCGGUGUCGUAGCCAACGCGUUAAGUGUUCCGCCUGGGGAGUACGCACGCAAGUGUGAAACUCAAAGGAAUUGACGGGGGCCCGCACAAGCGUGAGUAUGUGGUUUAAUCGAUGCACGCGAAGAACCUUACCAGGGUUUGACAUCUGGACCUCUUAGAAUUUGAGGGUGCAUCGCACGCAUGACAGUGGUGCAUGCCUGUCGUCAGCUCAGUCUGAAUGUAGUAAGUCCGCACGAUCCAACCAAGUUUAGUGCCAGCAUCAUGGUACUAGAGAACGCCGGUUAACGGAACGUGUAAGCCAGCUCCAUGCCCUUGUAUC